This 668-nucleotide ribosomal RNA is filed under the name uncultured Oscillatoriales cyanobacterium. RNAcentral's name for it is "bacterial SSU rRNA". It matches the Rfam family "Bacterial small subunit ribosomal RNA", at positions 95 to 798 of the family's 1533-position model. The record is from RNAcentral. Lineage: Bacteria; Bacillati; Cyanobacteriota; Cyanophyceae; Oscillatoriales.
GUGGCGGACGGGUGAGUAACGCGUGAGAAUCUGCCUUCAGGAUGGGGACAACAGUUGGAAACGACUGCUAAUACCCAAUGUGCCGAGAGGUGAAAGAAUUUCGCCUGAAGAGGAGCUCGCGUCUGAUUAGCUAGUUGGUGGGGUAAAGGCCUACCAAGGCAGCGAUCAGUAGCUGGUCUGAGAGGAUGAGCAGCCACACUGGGACUGAGACACGGCCCAGACUCCUACGGGAGGCAGCAGUGGGGAAUUUUCCGCAAUGGGCGCAAGCCUGACGGAGCAAUACCGCGUGAGGGAGGAAGGCUUUUGGGUUGUAAACCUCUUUUCUUGGGAAAGAAGUACUGACGGUACCCAAGGAAUCAGCAUCGGCUAACUCCGUGCCAGCAGCCGCGGUAAUACGGAGGAUGCAAGCGUUAUCCGGAAUUAUUGGGCGUAAAGGGUCCGCAGGUGGUCACUCAAGUCUGCUGUCAAAGGCGGGGGCUUAACUCCCGAAAGGCAGUGGAAACUGGGAGACUAGAGUACGGUAGGGGUAGAGGGAAUUCCCAGUGUAGCGGUGAAAUGCGUAGAGAUUGGGAAGAACACCAGUGGCGAAGGCGCUCUACUGGGCCGAAACUGACACUGAGGGACGAAAGCUAGGGGAGCGAAAGGGAUUAGAUACCCCUGUAGUCCUA